CCUACGGGUGACAGCAGUGAGGAAUAUUGGUCAAUGGACGCAAGUCUGAACCAGCCAUGCCGCGUGCAGGAAGAAGGCUCUAUGAGUUGUAAACUUCUUUUGUCCGCGGGCAAACUCAGACACGCGUACCUGUCCGCAUUUACCUUACGAACAAGCAUCGGCUAACUCCGUUCCAGCAGCCGCGGUAAUACGGAGGAUUCAAGCGUUAUCCGGAUUUAUUGGGUGUAAAGUGUGCGUCGGGGGUCGGUUAAGUUAGAGGUGAAAUCCCGUGGCUCAACUCCGGAAUGGCCUCUGAUACUGGUAGGCUAGAGAGUAGGAGAGGUAGGCGGAAUGCAAGGUGUAGCGGUGAAAUGCUUAGAGAUCAUGCAGAACACCGAUUGCGAAGGCAGCAUACCGGACGACGACUGACGCUGAGGCACGAAAGCGUGGGGAGCAAACAGGAUUAGAUACCCCUGUAGUC
This 460-nucleotide ribosomal RNA is filed under the name uncultured bacterium. RNAcentral describes it as "partial 16S ribosomal RNA". It matches the Rfam family "Bacterial small subunit ribosomal RNA", at positions 338 to 795 of the family's 1533-position model. The record is from RNAcentral.